RNAcentral lists this ribosomal RNA (497 nucleotides) under uncultured bacterium. RNAcentral's name for it is "partial 16S ribosomal RNA". It matches the Rfam family "Bacterial small subunit ribosomal RNA", at positions 28 to 507 of the family's 1533-position model. The record is from RNAcentral.
GAUGAACGCUGGCGGCGUGCCUAAUACAUGCAAGUCGAGCGAACAGACGAGGAGCUUGCUCCUCUGACGUUAGCGGCGGACGGGUGAGUAACACGUGGAUAACCUACCUAUAAGACUGGGAUAACUUCGGGAAACCGGAGCUAAUACCGGAUAAUAUAUUGAACCGCAUGGUUCAAUAGUGAAAGACGGUUUUGCUGUCACUUAUAGAUGGAUCCGCGCCGCAUUAGCUAGUUGGUAAGGUAACGGCUUACCAAGGCAACGAUGCGUAGCCGACCUGAGAGGGUGAUCGGCCACACUGGAACUGAGACACGGUCCAGACUCCUACGGGAGGCAGCAGUAGGGAAUCUUCCGCAAUGGGCGAAAGCCUGACCGAGCAACGCCGCGUGAGUGAUGAAGGUCUUCGGAUUGUAAAACUCUGUUAUUAGGGAAGAAAAAAUGUGUAAGUAACUAUGCACGUCUUGACGGUACCUAAACAGAAAGCCACGGCUAACUACGUG